RNAcentral lists this RNase P RNA (464 nucleotides) under Nitrospira sp. RNAcentral describes it as "RNase P RNA component class A". It matches the Rfam family "Bacterial RNase P class A". From Rfam's summary of the family: Ribonuclease P (RNase P) is a ubiquitous endoribonuclease, found in archaea, bacteria and eukarya as well as chloroplasts and mitochondria. Its best characterised activity is the generation of mature 5'-ends of tRNAs by cleaving the 5'-leader elements of precursor-tRNAs. The record is from RNAcentral. Lineage: Bacteria; Pseudomonadati; Nitrospirota; Nitrospiria; Nitrospirales; Nitrospiraceae.
GGUGUGGGUCAGGUGGCCGCUCGCCGGGCUUGAGGCUUCCCGGUGAGAGGAAAGUCCGGACUCCAGAGGGCAGGGUGCUGGGUAACGCCCAGGCGGAGUGAUCCGACAUGAGCGCCACAGAAAACAAACCGCCACGGGAUACGCUAUUCAACCGUGAAUGGGUUCCCGGGGUAAGGGUGAAAAGGUGGGGUAAGAGCCCACCGCGUCCAUGGUGACAUGGAUGGCAGGGCAAGCAUCACCCGGAGCAAGACCAAAUAGGAGGACGCUCCGAACGGCCUGAUCGGCUUCCGUGUUGUAAGCCUCCUUGUGAAGCUGAUUCGGUGGUGUUCGGGAGAGGUUGGCCCGACCAAAGUUCUCGGGUAGGUCGCUGGAGGCGUGUGGUAACAUACGCUGUAGAGACAUGGCUGCCACCAUGUUGAUCAGUCAGCAUGGAACAGAAUCCGGCUUAUCGACCCACACCCAUA